Long non-coding RNA from Dama dama (fallow deer), 2144 nucleotides. RefSeq lists it as uncharacterized. The record is from RefSeq and is a predicted model, not a curated record. The transcript is spliced from 4 exons. NCBI's taxonomy places the organism in Eukaryota, Metazoa, Chordata, Mammalia, Artiodactyla, Cervidae.
GUGACUCCCCAAGGGCACCCAGACCGAAGGUUUAUGUUGAAGCUUCCUGGGUGAUUCUGCGAAUCAAGGCUCCAGUCUAACCUUAUUACUUUACAGCUGGGGAAACUGAGGCACACACUAUGCCAAGGCCUCACCUUAAGUUAGCCAACCACGAGGAAGCCAAGGGAAAGCCUACAAGGAGAGACCCCACGAAGGCCAGGAUUUUCCCCACGACCUGAGUCCUGAGAGUUUGGAGUAGAAGAGAGGGGCUAGGGACGCAGGAAGGUCUUGGGCACGCUGCCCUGACAGCUUCGCAGGAUCACCGCGCGGUCCCCAGGCUCACGAAAUUAAUGAGGAAGAGGCCUUUCUUUCCUCAGUCGAGGAGUAGAUUCCGUUUAACCUCUGCAGACAGUAAGACAGCGACCACUCUCCCUCCCAGCCUGGCGCCAGCAUGAACCCGAGGGCAUGUCAGCAGGAGCCAGGAACUGGAGGCGAAGCAUCCUUCAUUUCCUCUGCGGCAGUGGAACGAGUGAGGUCUCUGAUUGCCAGAGUCUUGUUUUUUUCAAAAUCGCAGCAUGCUGAGACCGAAAGCGGGGUACCCCGGAGGAUUCUUUUAUAUGCUCAACCUUGAGUCAGACUUGCAAUCGGCAUUUGAUCAAGAAACUUGCAAGGUAUUCUCAAACUUGGGAACCAACCUUGAAGCCUGACAAAAUUACCUGGGAUGGAGCUCAGGACGGCAGGCCCUUGUCUUGCUCUGUGACUGUACAUGUCACUUUUCACUUGGCCAUUCAACAAAAACUCUGGAGAACCUCCUGUCUGCUUGGGCUUCUAAAUCAUGGUGCUGACACUUUGGACUAGAAAAUAACAAAGAAGGAAGCUGCCAAAUAGCAGCAUGGAAAGCUUUGCAAAAGAAUUGACAUUUGAUAUGGACUCUGACAGAUGAAAAGGAGUUCCCGGGGUGGCAUCAGUUCAUCUUCUAUAAGGGACCUGGCAGCAUCUCGCAGUGUGAUCCAGAGCCUGGUGGAGGGCUGAUGAAUGCUAGCAGCUCCUCUAAUUUUUACUGCUGUAAACCAAAGCUUCCAGGAGCAGCCAGCCCAGGAGCACAGUGGGGCUAUCAGCAAAGCAGGGAUGCUGAUCCAAGUUCAAAUCCCAGUCUUCCCAGGGCCACACUGGACGGUUUGGAGAAAACUGCAGAACUUGGAGUUGGCAUCCGUCAACGCAGUGGGAUGAAACAAAGUGGCAAUCAUGGGCCGCCUUGCAUAUGGCUUGCACACAGUGGGCCCUCAGCUGGUGAGGGCUUCUGCAGGUGCGGUCCAUGGAGCCCAGGCUUUGGGCUGAGGCAGGCCCAGGACUAGCCCAUUAGAGGCUGCUCAGCUCCACAUGGAAACCCCAGCUGGCUGUGGGGCCCGAGGUGUAGUGUGUGCCAGAGUCCCCUGACUUUAAGUGGCUUCUGGUCAGUGCCAGCACAUGUCACUACCAGCUUCAGGACCAGUGGUCCCCCAAUGCCAUGAGAAUACUGUGAAAGCUUCCCAGAAGAGGUGCUGUUUGAUCCCCUUUAAAGGAAUACAUCAGAGCCCUACAGGGUGGCCCAAAGCUGCUGUGUCCCCAUAGAGAGUGGAUGAGUAGCUUGAAAUUCCCUGUGUCCCAAGCACCUGCUGUGUGCUCAAUCAGGAAAGCAAGUGAUAAGGCGAAAAGACAGGCUGCUCAAUUUUUAAAAAUGGGCAAAGAAUAUGAAUAGGUAGUUCACAAAACAGGUGUGGAAAAUGGCUCAGAAAUUGAUUUUAAAAAAGAAUGCUCAACCAUGCCAAAUCUUAAGGGAAAUGCAACUUAAAUGAGGUAGUGUUUUUAUAUAUACUGGAAUAUUACUCCGCCAGAAAAAAAAGAAUGAAAUAGGGCUUCCCUGGUGUCUCAGUGGUAAAGAAUCUGUCUGCCAAUGCAGGAGACACGGGUUUGAUCCCUAAUCAGGGAAGAUCAAACAUGCCAAGAAGCAACUAAGCCCCAUGAGCCACAGCUAUUGAAUUUGUGCUCUAGAGCCUGGGAGCCACAACUACUGAACCCGUGUGCCUCAACUAUUAAAGCCCACACACCCUAGAGCCCACACUCAUCAACAGGAGAAGCCGCUGCCAUGAGAAGCCCGCGCACCACCACUACAGAAAAGCCCUCAU